RNAcentral lists this ribosomal RNA (253 nucleotides) under uncultured bacterium. RNAcentral describes it as "partial 16S ribosomal RNA". It matches the Rfam family "Bacterial small subunit ribosomal RNA", at positions 524 to 775 of the family's 1533-position model. The record is from RNAcentral.
UACAGAGGGUGCAAGCGUUGUUCGGAAUUAUUGGGCGUAAAGGGAGUGUAGGCGGCUUUGCAAGUCUUCUGUGAAAUCUACGGGCUUAACCCGUCAAAGUGCAGAAGAUACUGCUUAGCUUGAGUGUCAGAGAGGGUGGCGGAAUUCCCGGUGUAGAGGUGAAAUUCGUAGAGAUCGGGAGGAACACCAGUGGCGAAGGCGGCCACCUGGCUGACAACUGACGCUGAGACUCGAAAGCAUGGGGAGCAAACAG